Callorhinus ursinus (northern fur seal) is the source of this 2481-nucleotide non-coding RNA. Lineage: Eukaryota; Metazoa; Chordata; Mammalia; Carnivora; Otariidae. The record is from RefSeq and is a predicted model, not a curated record.
AGAAGUUUGAUUCUGUUAAGCCGGGAACCGAAUGUUGAAGAGAGGAUUUCUGUGCUCGCCAGUGGGAUGCUGUGGGGGACAAAUGUCCCAGGCAGCGUCGCUGGGGACGCCCUGCUCUGAAGUCCCGUUGGAAUGACCGUCUCCCCUCCCCCCCUUUGCACACACCACGCACCGCGUGUAACGUUACCAGGGAAAGUUUCAUCUGUGACCAGCCUCGUCUAGGUCACCGGCAGGGAUCACAUCUUGUCACAUGCAGCUGCCCCAGCUCCUGAAACAGAGCUGUGGACAGAUGAGGUACUUCAUCAACACCGAUGGCCUGGGUGAUACACUUUAGACCAUGUCGUUUGCACCGGUGUUUAUGACCCGGGGAUCAGCUGUUUGGGAGUCUGACUGAUUUGAACUCAAAUAGGACCAAAAAAAAAAGGAAGGAAGGUUUGUUCCUGAACCAUUCCUACAUCCCAUAGCUGCCCACUUCCUUCCCCACCACUUCCCGUGGCCCCACCAUGCCGCAGGGCAACAGGAUUGAUCACACAGCGUCUCUGCAAAUUGCUUUCAUAGGAUUCCCUUCCCAACAAGAGCUACACAGAAACAAUCUGAUCCUAAAUAUCCUGAAACCUCCUGGUAACACUCGCCAUUGUUCGGCAAAAUCUAGAAGAUGGGCUCCGGCCAGAAGGGGUUGUUAAUGAAAUACUAAAAGGACCUCAGAUGCUGUGAGCUGAUCCCCAUAAAAUGGUGCCCAUGGCCCAAAUCCCAAUGGAAUGUGAAGGCCAUCUGGAAGAAAAAGGAAAGGGGGGGAGGCGUUCUUAAAUAAACCCAGAGUUUCCUCCUGCAGCUCCAUUGCCCCAAAGGACACCUGAAAUUCAACUCCCCAAUCCUUCCCUCCCUUGUUUUGCCUCAGAAGGCAGCACAGUGAAGUGAAAAGAACAUACACAGGGGCUCUGGACUUCAGAGUGACCUGGCUUUGAGCAAGUCAUUUCGCUUCCAAGCCCAUGGGGGUGUACACAGGACAUUGCACUUCACUCCCCAGCAUCUGCUUUCCCCCUAUGGAGCUGCAGCAACAUUUGGGGGCAGUUGACCCUAGUCAGGGUUGGGCCAGCUGGUCCAAGGACACCAUUCCCCCGGUUGGUGAUGGGUUCUGGAUGAGCGUACAACCUGAUCUGGCCAUGAAGCUGGAAGGAAAUGUCUGCUGAAGGCAUGAGCCUCUCUCUCCCACAUCCAUUGUGAAAAAAGAAGCUGCUCCUGACCACAGCAGAGCCAGCCUCAGGAUGGAGCCCGUCCCCAGGAUGGACAGAGUGAAGACAACGAAUCUAUGUCUUUGGCGACACUGUCUGUCGGCUUGUCUAAUUCUUCCAGAAUUCCCAAUCAAUACUCAAUCCAUUCCUGCCAUGUCUAAAGCAGCUGAGUUGGACCUUCUGCCCACACCCUGUAGCUGACCCCAAACAGCAGUCAUGGAGGAAAAGGCCCACAAGCAUUUGGCCACAUAUUAGGUACUCAGCAAAAUUUUGCUUCCCCUUUCCCUCACACUUACAUAAAAGCAGUCUUGAAAUGUGGUCAAAGAAAACCCCAUUUCUUCCCCUUUCAAGAAUUAACUGAAGUGCUCUCCUGUGGGCCUAACAUGGUGCCAGACUCAUAGUAGGUCUUCAGUAAACAUUUGAAUGACUCGUAACCUAUGACACACCUCUGGAGUAUGAUGUUGGUAAUGCCUGGAUUUCAGUUUAUGGCUUGCUGGAUGGGGGUGGAAAAGAUAACAGACAAAUUUGUUGCAGAGGUCUGAGUCCUGUUUCUAGACUCUGGGAGGAGGACCUGGAACACAAGUCUCCCCCCUCCUCCCCCCCAGCCCCCUUCCCCCACUUCCUCCACCCCCAGUCUCCAUCCCUGCUCUCUCAGAUAGACAUCUGCCAUUGGUGAGCUCUGGAGUCUGGCCAAUCACCUACAAAGCAAACCAUCUGAGGAAUGUCUGGUAUGCAGGGUAUGCAGUAUGGUGUAGGUUUGUUUUUUCUGUUCAUCACUUGGCAAGGAAAUCCUUCACUAUUUUGUCUGGAGGCAUUAGCCUGGAGCUGAGGACCGGCCAAGGGGGUGGAAGGUAGAAGGUAGGGGAAAGGAGGGGACAGUCUUCCCUCUUCUUUUGCUCCUAGGACUGCACAGCACCAGCCUUCACCUGCUUCCUCCCACCCCCACCCCGCCCCCCAGGUGCCCCAGUAGAAGACAGAGUGAAACAGAAGCAGGGGUAGCAGCAGGGGAAGACGUUUCCCUGGGGAGGAGAGUAACUGGCAGCUCCAGGGGGGCCCAGGGCAGGGAAGAGGCCAAGCCACUGCAGGACACAGAUCAGUGCACUUCACCUUCAGUGUCUAGCUCCUUAGCUUUGUGCGGGGGACCAAACCCGGGCUGGGAGUUCUGAGACCUGGGUUCAAGUUCUGGCUGGGCGAUCUUGGGCAUAUUUCUUGACUGAUUUGAACUCGAAUAGGACCAAAAAAAAAAAAA